Long non-coding RNA from Dermochelys coriacea (leatherback sea turtle), 1446 nucleotides. RefSeq lists it as uncharacterized. NCBI's taxonomy places the organism in Eukaryota, Metazoa, Chordata, Testudines, Dermochelyidae. The transcript is spliced from 4 exons. The record is from RefSeq and is a predicted model, not a curated record.
UCUGAAUUAGGAAGUAGAGCAGCCAUCUGUAAGCUACGACAAUAUUUGUGAACGGAAGAGGGCAGCCACAUGGAUUUUUUUCCCCCUUUCCCUUUACUGCAAAGCCUACAAAUCUGCUCCCUGGAAUGAAACGAUCUCUGAAGAAAGGCAACGGCUCGAUGUUGUUUACUUUGAACAUUUUUUCCCUUGCAAAAGUAACAAGCGGGAUUUGUGCGUGCGUGUGUGUGCGUGCGCCAGAGUCAAGUUUCCAUGAAAUUCCUGCACUUGGAGCAUUUUAAUAUUAACAAUAAAAGCAACGAUCCAGGGGGACUCAAUCUGACUUGCACGGCAGAUUUAAGGUGGCAAUUUGUUUACAACUUUCAUUUUUCCUCCAGCCGCUGGGGGUAAACAUUACAAACUUUCUCUACUACAGGAUUUCUCUCUUAAGGAAACCGCCACUCCACACUUAUUGGAAAACGUAACAAAGCAAAACUUCGGCCAAAAAGAAGGGAACCAUUGAAACUUUUUCCCCUGUUACAGCCUGGUGUUAUAGAAGUUGAACGGCACUACAGAGGGAUGGAGAGAAGCAAAGGAAAGAAAGAGGCAAGAGACUAGGGAGAGAGAGGAGAAUGACCCACAAAGCAAAACGCCGUGAAACUGUCCCGGAUGACUACAUUCUCUGUUCAUGUCUAAGACCCAAUAGGGAAACAGAAGUGUGAGGAUAUACUGAUUGUUUGCAGUAUUGUAUCCUGGGAACCAGCAUGGAUAUGAGAGAGACAAGGUGAAAGGCAAAGUAUGAUCUCUUAUGGACAAAAUUCUGCCCUUGUGACUGUGAAGGCUCCUUUCAUAGUGGAACCAGGCUGGCUCAACUGCACAAGAAGAGGAGAAGGAAGGAUUCCAGUCAGCCCUACGAGGUACAACGAUAACCCCAUCUAGUAUGGAGCUCAGCUCUGUGGGCCCCACUGGGCAACAAUGUGCAGAGCAAUAGCCCCUGCUGUAUGGAUUAUUCACCAGGAGGAAACUAAUCUUCUCUUCAUCUGCCAAUCAGGACUCAACAGUGUUCCAAGAAUUCCACAAGAUGACACUCUUAGCAAAAUAAGAGGUUCAGAACAUUGGGAGAAUCCUCCAUGCUGACUGGCUGGAGAGGGAGUCAUGAUUUAGGAGAGUUUCACAUUGGUCUGGAACGGUGACUGAGAUUUCAGCACCUGUGCCAUAACAGCCCCAUUUUUUCCUCUUUCAUUUUGAAAUAAACUGUUGACCUAUAAACUGAGCAAAACUGACACGGAAGUUAUAUAUGUACCACCAGGGAGUCAUUUUUAACUCUUGCUCCUUAAUAAAAGUCUUUCUGGAGCUGGCUGUUUUAAGUGGAAGGAAAAGUAUAAAGUGCAUUGACUAAGAAAGCCGUCAUAACUAGAAUUCCUUUUACCUCAAUUUAAAUUACUGCAGAAAGUAGAAACUCCCCUUGCA